RNAcentral lists this ribosomal RNA (505 nucleotides) under uncultured bacterium. RNAcentral's name for it is "partial 16S ribosomal RNA". It matches the Rfam family "Bacterial small subunit ribosomal RNA", at positions 28 to 507 of the family's 1533-position model. The record is from RNAcentral.
GACGAACGCUGGCGGCGUGCCUAAUACAUGCAAGUAGAACGCACAGUUUAUACCGUAGCUUGCUACACCAUAAACUGUGAGUUGCGAACGGGUGAGUAACGCGUAGGUAACCUGCCUGGUAGCGGGGGAUAACUAUUGGAAACGAUAGCUAAUACCGCAUAAUAUUGAUUAUUGCAUGAUAAUUGAUUGAAAGAUGCUAUUGCAUCACUACCAGAUGGACCUUCGUUGUAUUAGCUAGUAGGUGAGGUAACGGCUCACCUAGGCGACGAUACAUAGCCGACCUGAGAGGGUGAUCGGCCAAACUGGGACUGAGACACGGCCCAGACUCCUACGGGAGGCAGCAGUAGGGAAUCUUCGGCAAUGGACGAAAGUCUGACCGAGCAACGCCGCGUGAGUGAAGAAGGGUUUCGGAUCGUAAAGCUCUGUUGUAAGAGAAGAACGGGUGUGAGAGUGGAAAGUUCACACUGUGACGGUAUCUUACCAGAAAGGGACGGCUAACUACGUG